This 2169-nucleotide ribosomal RNA is filed under the name Shigella boydii. RNAcentral describes it as "partial 23S ribosomal RNA". It matches the Rfam family "Bacterial large subunit ribosomal RNA", at positions 796 to 2925 of the family's 2925-position model. The record is from RNAcentral. Lineage: Bacteria; Pseudomonadati; Pseudomonadota; Gammaproteobacteria; Enterobacterales; Enterobacteriaceae.
AUUAGCGGAUGACUUGUGGCUGGGGGUGAAAGGCCAAUCAAACCGGGAGAUAGCUGGUUCUCCCCGAAAGCUAUUUAGGUAGCGCCUCGUGAAUUCAUCUCCGGGGGUAGAGCACUGUUUCGGCAAGGGGGUCAUCCCGACUUACCAACCCGAUGCAAACUGCGAAUACCGGAGAAUGUUAUCACGGGAGACACACGGCGGGUGCUAACGUCCGUCGUGAAGAGGGAAACAACCCAGACCGCCAGCUAAGGUCCCAAAGUCAUGGUUAAGUGGGAAACGAUGUGGGAAGGCCCAGACAGCCAGGAUGUUGGCUUAGAAGCAGCCAUCAUUUAAAGAAAGCGUAAUAGCUCACUGGUCGAGUCGGCCUGCGCGGAAGAUGUAACGGGGCUAAACCAUGCACCGAAGCUGCGGCAGCGACACUAUGUGUUGUUGGGUAGGGGAGCGUUCUGUAAGCCUGUGAAGGUGUACUGUGAGGUAUGCUGGAGGUAUCAGAAGUGCGAAUGCUGACAUAAGUAACGAUAAAGCGGGUGAAAAGCCCGCUCGCCGGAAGACCAAGGGUUCCUGUCCAACGUUAAUCGGGGCAGGGUGAGUCGACCCCUAAGGCGAGGCCGAAAGGCGUAGUCGAUGGGAAACAGGUUAAUAUUCCUGUACUUGGUGUUACUGCGAAGGGGGGACGGAGAAGGCUAUGUUGGCCGGGCGACGGUUGUCCCGGUUUAAGCGUGUAGGCUGGUUUUCCAGGCAAAUCCGGAAAACUAAGGCUGAGGCGUGAUGACGAGGCACUACGGUGCUGAAGCAACAAAUGCCCUGCUUCCAGGAAAAGCCUCUAAGCAUCAGGUAACAUCAAAUCGUACCCCAAACCGACACAGGUGGUCAGGUAGAGAAUACCAAGGCGCUUGAGAGAACUCGGGUGAAGGAACUAGGCAAAAUGGUGCCGUAACUUCGGGAGAAGGCACGCUGAUAUGUAGGUGAAGUCCCUCGCGGAUGGAGCUGAAAUCAGUCGAAGAUACCAGCUGGCUGCAACUGUUUAUUAAAAACACAGCACUGUGCAAACACGAAAGUGGACGUAUACGGUGUGACGCCUGCCCGGUGCCGGAAGGUUAAUUGAUGGGGUCAGCGCAAGCGAAGCUCUUGAUCGAAGCCCCGGUAAACGGCGGCCGUAACUAUAACGGUCCUAAGGUAGCGAAAUUCCUUGUCGGGUAAGUUCCGACCUGCACGAAUGGCGUAAUGAUGGCCAGGCUGUCUCCACCCGAGACUCAGUGAAAUUGAACUCGCUGUGAAGAUGCAGUGUACCCGCGGCAAGACGGAAAGACCCCGUGAACCUUUACUAUAGCUUGACACUGAACAUUGAGCCUUGAUGUGUAGGAUAGGUGGGAGGCUUUGAAGUGUGGACGCCAGUCUGCAUGGAGCCGACCUUGAAAUACCACCCUUUAAUGUUUGAUGUUCUAACGUUGACCCGUAAUCCGGGUUGCGGACAGUGUCUGGUGGGUAGUUUGACUGGGGCGGUCUCCUCCUAAAGAGUAACGGAGGAGCACGAAGGUUGGCUAAUCCUGGUCGGACAUCAGGAGGUUAGUGCAAUGGCAUAAGCCAGCUUGACUGCGAGCGUGACGGCGCGAGCAGGUGCGAAAGCAGGUCAUAGUGAUCCGGUGGUUCUGAAUGGAAGGGCCAUCGCUCAACGGAUAAAAGGUACUCCGGGGAUAACAGGCUGAUACCGCCCAAGAGUUCAUAUCGACGGCGGUGUUUGGCACCUCGAUGUCGGCUCAUCACAUCCUGGGGCUGAAGUAGGUCCCAAGGGUAUGGCUGUUCGCCAUUUAAAGUGGUACGCGAGCUGGGUUUAGAACGUCGUGAGACAGUUCGGUCCCUAUCUGCCGUGGGCGCUGGAGAACUGAGGGGGGCUGCUCCUAGUACGAGAGGACCGGAGUGGACGCAUCACUGGUGUUCGGGUUGUCAUGCCAAUGGCACUGCCCGGUAGCUAAAUGCGGAAGAGAUAAGUGCUGAAAGCAUCUAAGCACGAAACUUGCCCCGAGAUGAGUUCUCCCUGACUCCUUGAGAGUCCUGAAGGAACGUUGAAGACGACGACGUUGAUAGGCCGGGUGUGUAAGCGCAGCGAUGCGUUGAGCUAACCGGUACUAAUGAACCGUGAGGCUUAACCUUACAACGCCGAAGGUGUUU